RNAcentral lists this ribosomal RNA (253 nucleotides) under uncultured bacterium. RNAcentral's name for it is "partial 16S ribosomal RNA". It matches the Rfam family "Bacterial small subunit ribosomal RNA", at positions 524 to 776 of the family's 1533-position model. The record is from RNAcentral.
UACGUAGGGUGCGAGCGUUAAUCGGAAUUACUGGGCGUAAAGCGUGCGCAGGCGGUUCGUUAUGUCCGUUGUGAAAGCCCCGGGCUCAACCUGGGAAUUGCAUUUGUGACUGCAUGGCUAGAGUGUGGCAGAGGGGGAUGGAAUUCCGCGUGUAGCAGUGAAAUGCGUAGAUAUGCGGAGGAACACCGAUGGCGAAGGCAGUCCCCUGGGCCUGCACUGACACUCAAGCACGAAAGCGUGGGGAGCAAACAGG